AACGAACGCUGGCGGCAUGCCUAACACAUGCAAGUCGAACGAGACAUUCGGGUCUAGUGGCGCACGGGUGCGUAACCCGUGGGAUCAUGCCCUUAGAUUCGGCAUAUCUCCCCGAAAGAGGUGCUAAUACCGGGUAAUAUCUCCGGACCAAAGCUUUAUCGCCGUUGGAUGGGUCCGCGUUGGAUUGGCUAGUUGGUAGGGUAAAAGCCUACCAAGGCGACGAUGCAGAGCUGGUCUGAGAGGAUGACCAGCCACGCUGGGACUGAGACACGGCCCAGACUCGUACGGGAGGGAGCAGUGGGGUAUAUAGGACAAGGGACGAAAGCGUGAUGCAGCAAUGCCGCGUGAGUGAUGAAGGGCUUAGUGUUGUAAAGCUCUUUUACCCGGGAUGAUAAUGACGGUACCGGGAGAAUAAGCACCGGCUAACUACGUG
Molecule: ribosomal RNA, 433 nt
Filed under: uncultured bacterium
Lineage: Bacteria
Description: partial 16S ribosomal RNA
Rfam family: Bacterial small subunit ribosomal RNA
Source: RNAcentral